RNAcentral lists this ribosomal RNA (490 nucleotides) under uncultured bacterium. RNAcentral describes it as "partial 16S ribosomal RNA". It matches the Rfam family "Bacterial small subunit ribosomal RNA", at positions 30 to 507 of the family's 1533-position model. The record is from RNAcentral.
AUUGAACGCUGGCGGCAGGCCUAACACAUGCAAGUCGAACGGAAACAGGAAGAAGCUUGUUUCUUUGCUGUAGAGUGGCGGGGGUGAGUGACAUGUCUGGGAAACUGCUUGAAGGCGGGGGAAAACUACUGGAAACGGUACCUAUAACCGCUUAAAGUUGCAACACCAAAGAGCGAGACUUUCAGGCCGCUUGCCAUCGGAUGUUCCCAGGUUGGAUUAGCUAGUAGGUAGGGUAACGGCUAACCAAGGCGACGAUCCCUAGCUGGUCUGAGAGGUUGAACAGCCACACUGGAACUGAGACACGGUCCAGACUCCUACGGGAGGCAGCAGUGGGGAAUAUUGCACAAUGGGCGCAAGCCUGAUGCAGCAAUGCCGCGUGUAUGAAGAAGGCCUUCGGGUUGUAAAGUACUUUCAGCGGGGAAGAAGAGAUGUAAGUUAAUACCUUCGCUCAUUGACGGUACCCACAGAAAAAGCACCGGCUAACUCCGUG